Molecule: long non-coding RNA, 393 nt
Organism: Colias croceus (clouded yellow)
Lineage: Eukaryota; Metazoa; Arthropoda; Insecta; Lepidoptera; Pieridae
Exons: 3
Source: RefSeq, a predicted model, not a curated record
GCAGUUAAUAAAAAGUAACCGAGUGAACCGAGGCACUUAUUUGCCAGGCCGAUUACGAAAGGCGAGGUGCACCGUGCAAGCAUAAGGCGCAAUAUGUAGCAAAUUGCAUCCUUUAAAAAAAGUGAGCCUGCUGCAGACGCGAUAAGGGUCUUGUAGGUGGAGGUAAUGUACACAGUCGAGAUAGGGAAUGUUGCUCAAGCUAAAUAUUUGCACGCUUGCCUACUUCGCGGAGACUACGUGAAAAUUUGCGCGUCGGUUCUGUCCUUGAGGGAUCGCUGGCGGGAAGGGCCGGGCCCGGGGGGCAGCGUGCCCGCGCCCGCCGGAACCGCGGCGGGCGGCGCGCGCGCUGGCGAUGACAUCGCGACGCGCGAGUCCAGAGGGCUUCACUAGCAC